CCUACGGGUGGCAGCAGUGGGGAAUAUUGGGCAAUGGGCGCAAGCCUGACCCAGCAACGCCGCGUGAAGGAAGAAGGCUUUCGGGUUGUAAACUUCUUUUCUCAGGGACGAAGCAAGUGACGGUACCUGAGGAAUAAGCCACGGCUAACUACGUGCCAGCAGCCGCGGUAAUACGUAGGUGGCAAGCGUUAUCCGGAUUUCCUGGGGGUAAAGGGCGUGUAGGCGGGAAAGCAAGUCAGAUGUGAAAACCAUGGGGUCAACCUGUGGCCUGCAUUUGAAACUGUUUUUCUUGAGUACUGGUGAGGCAGACGGAAUUCCUAGUGUAGCGGUGAAAUGCGUAGAUAUUAGGAGGAACACCGGUGGCGAAGGCGGCCUGCUGGACUGCAACUGACGUUGAGGCCCGGAAGCGUGGGGAGCAAACAGGAUUAGAUACCCCAGUAGUC
This 443-nucleotide ribosomal RNA is filed under the name uncultured bacterium. RNAcentral describes it as "partial 16S ribosomal RNA". It matches the Rfam family "Bacterial small subunit ribosomal RNA", at positions 338 to 795 of the family's 1533-position model. The record is from RNAcentral.